RNAcentral lists this ribosomal RNA (653 nucleotides) under Hepatozoon sp. Its description in RNAcentral is "SSU rRNA". It matches the Rfam family "Eukaryotic small subunit ribosomal RNA", at positions 71 to 714 of the family's 1831-position model. The record is from RNAcentral. Lineage: Eukaryota; Apicomplexa; Hepatozoidae.
CAAAAAUACAGCAAAACUGCAAAUGGCUCAUUAAAACAGUUAUUGUUUACUUGAUAAUAAUUUUUACAUGGAUAACCGUGGUAAUUCUACAGCUAAUACAUGAGCAAAAUCUCAACUUUAUUAGAAGAGACGCAUUUAUUAGAUAAAAAGCCAGUUCAUGCUUUUACAGUAUGAAAAUUGGUGAUUUAUAAUAACUUAGCAAAUCGCAAAGUGAAAACAGGCGAUAAAUCAUUCAAGUUUCUGACCUAUCAGCUUUCGACGGUAUGGUAUUGGCUUACCGUGGCAGUGACGGUUAACGGGGGAUUAGGGUUCGAUUCCGGAGAGGGAGCCUGAGAAACGGCUACCACAUCUAAGGAAGGCAGCAGGCGCGCAAAUUACCCAAUUCUAACAGUUUGAGAGAGGUAGUAACAAGAAAUAACAAUACAAGGCAGUUAAAAUGCUUUGUAAUUGGAAUGAUAGAAAUUUAAACCCUUUUUAAAGUAUCAAUUGGAGGGCAAGUCUGGUGCCAGCAGCCGCGGUAAUUCCAGCUCCAAUAGCGUAUAUUAAAAUUGUUGCAGUUAAAAAGCUCGUAGUUGAAGUUCUGCUGAAAGUAACCGGUCUGCUUUUAAUAAAAGUGGUAUCUUGGUAUGUAUUUAGCAAUGAUGUCCUUUGAA